Molecule: ribosomal RNA, 775 nt
Filed under: uncultured Neocallimastigales
Lineage: Eukaryota; Fungi; Neocallimastigomycota; Neocallimastigomycetes; Neocallimastigales
Description: partial large subunit ribosomal RNA
Rfam family: Eukaryotic large subunit ribosomal RNA
Source: RNAcentral
AGAGAGAGACAUGCGCGCAUAUCAAUAAGCGGAGGAAAAGAAACUAACAAGGAUUCCCUUAGUAACGGCGAGUGAAGCGGGAAGAGCUCAAAUUUGAAAUCUUCAAGGUUUUACCUUGACGAAUUGUAGUUUAAAGAAGUGUUUUCUGCUGAAGUUUUGGUAAAAGUUCUUUGGAAUAGGACAUCAUAGAGGGUGAGAAUCCCGUAUUUGACCAUUAUUUUCAGCUUUGUGAUACACUUUCAAAGAGUCGGAUUGUUUGGGAAUGCAGUCCAAAAUGGGUGGUAAAUUUCAUCUAAAGCUAAAUAUUGGCGAGAGACCGAUAGCGAACAAGUACCGUGAGGGAAAGAUGAAAAGAACUUUGAAAAGAGAGUUAAACAGUACGUGAAAUUGUCAAAAGGGAAGCGUUUGACACCAGUGUUGUUUUCUCGAAAAUCAAUUAAAAAUGGCUCGAUUUUGUAUUGUUGAGACCUUAAAAGCUCACUGUACAUUUUUCGUGUCUUUUUUAAUGCACUUUUCGUUUAACAAGUCAACAUCAGUUUCUUUUGUUGUAAAAGGGUCAUUGGGAAGGUGGCUUUCUUUUCGGAGAAAGUGUUUAUAGCCUUUGGCCUCUGCAAUCGAAGAGACUGAGGUCUGCAGCGUAGACUCUUCGGGGUUAGAUACAUUUGUGCUAAGUUAUAGCUUUUUAUAGACAACUUGUUGACUAUAAUUAGUCUUGUAGCUUACUCGCUUAUGCUAUUUUACCUACGCUUAGGAUGUUGAAGAUGUAGCACAUCAU